CAACUUUUAGCAACGGAUCUCUUGGCUCUCGCAUCGAUGAAGAACGCAGCGAAAUGCGAUAAGUAAUGUGAAUUGCAGAAUUCAGUGAAUCAUCGAAUCUUUGAACGCACCUUGCGCUCCUUGGUAUUCCGAGGAGCAUGCCUGUUUGAGUGUCAUG
Molecule: ribosomal RNA, 157 nt
Filed under: Trametes versicolor
Lineage: Eukaryota; Fungi; Basidiomycota; Agaricomycetes; Polyporales; Polyporaceae
Also listed under: 9 other names
Description: 5.8S ribosomal RNA
Rfam family: 5.8S ribosomal RNA
About the family: 5.8S ribosomal RNA (5.8S rRNA) is a component of the large subunit of the eukaryotic ribosome. It is transcribed by RNA polymerase I as part of the 45S precursor that also contains 18S and 28S rRNA.
Source: RNAcentral